GACGAACGCUGGCGGCGUGCUUAACACAUGCAAGUCGAACGGAAAGGCCCUGCUUUUGUGGGGUGCUCGAGUGGCGAACGGGUGAGUAACACGUGAGUAACCUGCCCUUGACUUUGGGAUAACUUCAGGUAACUGGGGCUAAUACCGGAUAGGAGCUCCUGCUGCAUGGUGGGGGUUGGAAAGUUUCGGCGGUUGGGGAUGGACUCGCGGCUUAUCAGCUUGUUGGUGGGGUAGUGGCUUACCAAGGCAUUGACGGGUAGCCGGCCUGAGAGGGGGACCGGCCACAUUGGGACUGAGAGACGGCCCAGAGUCCUACGGGAGGCAGCAGUGGGGAAUAUUGCACAAUGGGCGGAAGCCUGAUGCAGCAACGCCGCGUUCGGGAUGACGGCCUUCGGGUUGUAAACCGCUUUCGCCUGUGACGAAGCGUGAGUGACGGUAAUGGGUAAAGAAGCACCGGCUAACUACGUG
RNAcentral lists this ribosomal RNA (468 nucleotides) under uncultured bacterium. Its description in RNAcentral is "partial 16S ribosomal RNA". It matches the Rfam family "Bacterial small subunit ribosomal RNA", at positions 28 to 507 of the family's 1533-position model. The record is from RNAcentral.